UGAGGAAUAUUGGUCAAUGGACGCAAGUCUGAACCAGCCAUGCCGCGUGCAGGAUGAAGGUGCUAUGCAUUGUAAACUGCUUUUGUACGAGGGUAAAUGCAGGUACGUGUACCUGUUUGAAAGUAUCGUACGAAUAAGGGUCGGCUAACUCCGUGCCAGCAGCCGCGGUAAUACGGAGGACCCGAGCGUUAUCCGGAUUUAUUGGGUUUAAAGGGUGCGUAGGCGGAUUAGUAAGUUAGAGGUGAAAGCUCGAUGCUCAACAUCGAAAUUGCCUCUGAUACUGUUAGUCUAGAGUAUAGUUGCGGAAGGCGGAAUGUGUGGUGUAGCGGUGAAAUGCUUAGAUAUCACACAGAACACCGAUUGCGAAGGCAGCUUUCCAAGCUAUUACUGACGCUGAUGCACGAAAGCGUGGGGGAGCGAACAGGAUUAGAUACC
RNAcentral lists this ribosomal RNA (435 nucleotides) under uncultured bacterium. RNAcentral's name for it is "bacterial SSU rRNA". It matches the Rfam family "Bacterial small subunit ribosomal RNA", at positions 355 to 786 of the family's 1533-position model. The record is from RNAcentral.